RNAcentral lists this ribosomal RNA (556 nucleotides) under Candidatus Acetothermia bacterium. RNAcentral's name for it is "partial 23S ribosomal RNA". It matches the Rfam family "Bacterial large subunit ribosomal RNA", at positions 1129 to 1606 of the family's 2925-position model. Lineage: Bacteria; Candidatus Bipolaricaulota. The record is from RNAcentral.
AGUGCGUAAUAGCUCACUGGUCCAGGGGUUCUGCGCCGAAAAUGAAGCGGGGCUAAAGCCUGCCACCGAAGCUUUGGCUACUCGAAGUUCGAGUAGGGUAGGGGAGCAUUGUAUCAGCGGAGAAGCUUAAUCGAGAGGAUAAGUGGAGCGGAUACAAGAGAGAAUGCCAGUAUGAGUACACGAAAAGGCAGGUGAGAAUCCUGCCCGCCGGAAGCCUAAGGAUUCCUGGGGAAGGCUCGUCCGCCCAGGGUAAGUCGGGACCUAAGCCGAGGCCGAGAGGCGUAGGUGAUGGGAAACCGGUUGAAAUUCCGGUACCGUUUUUGAGCCGUUAUUAAGUGAAGCAGGGACACAGGAAGGCAGGUUGAGCGCACGGCUGGAAGAGUGCGUCCAAGCACGCAGGGAGUGGGGCAGGCAAAACCGUUCCACGCACAAGCCCGAGGUGCAUGCAAGAUUACCUCCAGCACAGCCAGGCGGGGCGGGGUGAUCUUGUAGCCUGCGCUGCGCAGGCGUUCGACCAGCGCAUCGGGGAGAGCCAUUUUACAGAUCCACUUCCUGC